Microcebus murinus (gray mouse lemur) is the source of this 542-nucleotide non-coding RNA. Lineage: Eukaryota; Metazoa; Chordata; Mammalia; Primates; Cheirogaleidae. The record is from RefSeq and is a predicted model, not a curated record.
CAUAAAGGCAUAAGCUUUGGAGUCAGGCAAACCUGGAUUUAUGUGCAGAUAGAAAUGUAUCUCUUCUACAUUAACAAAGUCAAGCUAGCUCAAGCUGGGACUACUCACACAAAUAGGCGAGACUGAACUCAACAUUUUACAGGUACCCGGGCGCUCUGCCCACACUCAGCCCUGAAGAAAUGCCGUGAGCUCUGUGGAUGCCUGUCCCUCAGCCGGAGGGUCUCAUCCUCUGUGUCAUUAAAAACAGAGACACCACACACGCUAAGGUGGCGUUUAUUCACAUGCACUUCUGUUGACCUCUCUCCCUUCAUCUCCACGCUUCACCCAAAGUGCAUUUCUAGAAAAUAUCUGAAGAGGCUUUAAGACAGGUAAAAAAACAGGUAUGAAGAAUACUGACAGGUAGAGUAUCCAAAAGGAAAAAUGGAUAUAGUAGAAAUUAAACGCUUAAGUUGUAAAGGCAAGAGGAAGGAAAUCACCAUCAGCUAGAUAAGGCGGUGAGUGAUGGUUACACAAUUCUCCGGCUGCACAUCAAAAGUAAAACC